CUGGUCACAUGAUCAUCUGAUUUGCAUAAAGAAUGUCAACUUUGUGAAAUGACCAAUGAUAAAGGAGCAUGAACGUGAAGCAACAAUCUUGUGUAAAGUUAAUUUUGGAUCUUCAAGCAUGGCUGGGUACACUAACCAUGUGGACACACUAUACUUACGGACAAGUUGAUGUGCCUACCCUUGAUUAUGACAACCUGAAUAUUUCCAACCACUUUCUGUUCAUUCGGCUAAUGAGCAAUAUCUGACAAAAAGACAACAGCCAUUCCUAUGCCCACCAUGAUGAUCGCCAAAACGGCAGCUGACACAGGGUGUGACUGAACAGCAGAAUGCAUCUUGCUCCAACUGGAGAAAGCAAGAUAAGCUCCAGCCACAAUUAACAGCAAUGACAAGCACUUCAACUCAAGAAUCUACCUGAAGAUGACACAGGACAAUCCAUGUCUAAAUCACCACCAGUGCUCAUGGGUUUUUGGGAGGAUUUCUUAGCCCCCAGGGCUCAGUUUGGAUGGAAAAUACUAGGGCAAAAUAUUAUCUACCUCACUGUCAACACAGACACUUCCUCAAGCCAUGACAAACAUCCCUCCCACCCUCCAAAAAAAUGGUCUGUUCCCUAGUGGAGCUAUAAAUAGCAGUGACAACACAGCCAUGUGAUUACCAUAUCAGACUGGCCACAGUGCAGCAGUAAUGACAUGGAAUCUGUUGCAGUGGCUGGCUAGCUGGCUGCCCAGUAUGAAAUACGAAGUGUAUUGAUUGUAGCACUGCCCAGCAGUUACCAGUACAACUGAUGCACAACUUGACACAGUGGACAAAAUAUUGACAUGUUCUUGUACCAUAUGCCGACAGCACACAUGCAUAAAUACCAUGUGGUAUUGAUAAUGGUGUAAGAAUCUACAUCAGAACGUCGCUAAAUGCAAUAAACCAGAAGUUGUUAUCCACA
Long non-coding RNA from Haliotis rufescens (red abalone), 934 nucleotides. RefSeq lists it as uncharacterized. The record is from RefSeq and is a predicted model, not a curated record. Lineage: Eukaryota; Metazoa; Mollusca; Gastropoda; Lepetellida; Haliotidae. The transcript is spliced from 4 exons.